UGGGGAAUCUUAGACAAUGGGGGAAACCCUGAUCUAGCCAUGCCGCGUGAGCGAUGAAGGCCUUAGGGUUGUAAAGCUCUUUCAGCUGGGAAGAUAAUGACGGUACCAGCAGAAGAAGCCCCGGCUAACUCCGUGCCAGCAGCCGCGGUAAUACGGAGGGGGCUAGCGUUGUUCGGAAUUACUGGGCGUAAAGCGCACGUAGGCGGAUUAGUCAGUCAGAGGUGAAAUCCCAGGGCUCAACCCUGGAACUGCCUUUGAUACUGCUAGUCUUGAGGUCGAGAGAGGUGAGUGGAAUUCCGAGUGUAGAGGUGAAAUUCGUAGAUAUUCGGAGGAACACCAGUGGCGAAGGCGGCUCACUGGCUCGAUACUGACGCUGAGGUGCGAAAGCGUGGGGAGCAAACAGGGUUAGAUACCCUGGUAGUCCACGCCGUAAACGAUGAAUGCCAGUCGUCGGGUUGCAUGCAAUUCGGUGACACACCUAACGGAUUAAGCAUUCCGCCUGGGGAGUACGGUCGCAAGAUUAAAACUCAAAAGGAAUUGACGGGGUCAUAGCUGUUUCCUG
Molecule: ribosomal RNA, 562 nt
Filed under: uncultured bacterium
Lineage: Bacteria
Description: partial 16S ribosomal RNA
Rfam family: Bacterial small subunit ribosomal RNA
Source: RNAcentral